This 433-nucleotide ribosomal RNA is filed under the name uncultured bacterium. RNAcentral's name for it is "partial 16S ribosomal RNA". It matches the Rfam family "Bacterial small subunit ribosomal RNA", at positions 29 to 507 of the family's 1533-position model. The record is from RNAcentral.
AACGAACGCUGGCGGCAGGCCUAACACAUGCAAGUCGAGCGAGGACUUCGGUUCUAGCGGCGGACGGGUGAGUAACGCGUGGGAAUGUGCCCUUCUCUACGGAAUAGCCCUGGGAAACUGGGAGUAAUACCGUAUACGCCCUAUUGGGGAAAGAUUUAUCGGAGAAGGAUCAGCCCGCGUUGGAUUAGGUAGUUGGUGGGGUAAUGGCCUACCAAGCCGACGAUCCAUAGCUGGUUUGAGAGGACGAUCAGCCACACUGGGACUGAGACACGGCCCAGACUCCUACGGGAGGCAGCAGUGGAGAAUCUUAGACAAUGGGGGCAACCCUGAUCUAGCCAUGCCGCGUGAGUGAUGAAGGCCUUAGGGUUGUAAAGCUCUUUCAGCUGGGAAGAUAAUGACGGUACCAGCAGAAGAAGCCCCGGCUAACUCCGUG